Molecule: long non-coding RNA, 1239 nt
Organism: Catharus ustulatus (Swainson's thrush)
Lineage: Eukaryota; Metazoa; Chordata; Aves; Passeriformes; Turdidae
Exons: 3
Source: RefSeq, a predicted model, not a curated record
CGCGCUGGGACCAUCCCGCUGCGCGCCCGACGGCACCGCUCGGGGCUGCUCCGGGAAAGAGGAGAGCACGGUCCGGCGGGGUGAAGGGGGCCGUGGGGAGGGCCCGCGGGCGAGGACUGGUUGGGUUCUGGCGCGGCGACGGGCAUGGUAGGACGGCGGUGCGGCUGCGGAGCGACGACCGUCGCCGUCGGGCUUGUGUUCUGCAGGCGGCCGCGUCCGAGGCAUCCCCGAGAUCGUGCUGCGGAGAGGACGCUGGGCCGCGUCGGCGGUGUGAGGGCGUCUCCAGCCUCCUCCUCGCUUGCUUGGCUUGCGCUUGUUGAUGGAAGAGCUGUUGCUGGCCCAGUUCCUCCCUGCACUUGAAGAAGAAAGACUGAAGAAGUAAAAUUAAUUGAGCGCCAGGAAAAAGAAACCUCUUCAGUCUCUGGAAAAUCUUGUCUUCAGUGAGGUAUCAAAAGAAGGUCAUCUUCUCAGGGUAAGCGCACACAAGCCUUCGUGAAUUUUGCCAGCCUCCCAUGGAACCUGCCACCAACCUGGUCUCAGCAACCCCAUUUCUCACCCUCAGAACUGCAUGCUGGGGGGGACACAGUGGCCACUGUGACUGCCAUAGGUCCUGGCUCUCCAUGCCUGAAGAAGCACAGCUGUCUUAAUGGAGCAUCAAAAUGCCAAGUUAUCAGAUAACAAUUAGAUGUACCACAAUUAUUGACGUUUUGUGUGCGUAUAUAGACUCUCACCAUGACACACGUGGACACGUGGGAUUACUUCUGCAUGUAGAUGGGGAUAACAGGUUGUUAUAUUUUGGAGAAUGACCGUAAACUCUUGUUAUAUGGAGAAGGAGUAAAGCAAUGUAAAUUUCUAUUCUUGUUUUAUUCAGAUAACCAGUAGUGUUAAACAUUGAAUUUUGUUGGAUUUUACAAAGGAAGGAAAAAGUAAUUUUUAAAAUCCUCCAAGAAUGCUUAAGAACAGCAUCUUCUUUCUUUAAAUAUUAAGAACAUGACUUUCCACCAAGGAAUUUUGCUGCAGUUGUUCCAGAGCCAGCUAUAGUACCUUAAUUUAUAAUAGCAGGUGAUUCAUGAUGCUUUGCAAACAAAUGAAAGUGCAGAUAUUCCACUUAUAUGAGGCUCUUGCUGUAUUGUUCCUUACAGACAUACAUUCACAUUCAACAGAGCCGCAGAGAACGUUUGAACAAGAGGUCAGACAAAUUUAUGGAAAGGUAUGAAAAUUUUGUUGUUACUUAUGCAG